CUACGGGGGGCUGCAGUGAGGAAUAUUGCACAAUGGGGGGAACCCUGAUGCAGCAACGCCGCGUGGAGGAUGACGCAUUUCGGUGUGUAAACUCCCUUUAUAUGUCAAGAAAAUGACGGUAGCAUAUGAAUAAGCACCGGCUAACUCCGUGCCAGCAGCCGCGGUAAUACGGAGGGUGCAAGCGUUACUCGGAAUCACUGGGCGUAAAGGACGCGUAGGCGGGUUGGAAAGUCAGGUGUGAAAUCCUACAGCUUAACUGUAGAACUGCACUUGAAACUUGUAAUCUAGAGUAUGGGAGGGGGAGAUGGAAUUAGUGGUGUAGGGGUAACAUCCGUAGAUAUCACUAGGAAUACCUAAAGCGAAGGCGAUCUCCUGGAACAUUACUGACGCUAAGGCGUGAAAGCGUGGGGAGCAAACAGGAUUAGAUACCCCUGUAGUC
RNAcentral lists this ribosomal RNA (439 nucleotides) under uncultured bacterium. Its description in RNAcentral is "partial 16S ribosomal RNA". It matches the Rfam family "Bacterial small subunit ribosomal RNA", at positions 339 to 795 of the family's 1533-position model. The record is from RNAcentral.